CACUCUCUAUGCUUACAAUUUUUUUAGUGAGGAGGCUAAGGAGGUGAUCUGAGGAGAAUCAAUAUUGAUUCGUUAAAAUGAAGGGUGUCUCUGGGUGGAGUUGGCCUUAUUGGCACAUCAGGCAUGGGAAGCUCUCCACAUCUUGAUGGCAUCUUUAUUGAUUGAUUGAAGGUGGUUUGCUUGUUAGGUUCAUACCUUCAUCAGAGCUGCUGAGACACACUGGUCGUCUUUUCCUUUUGGGGGAGUCAUCACAGCUCUCAAGUGAAGAUUGCACAGC
Molecule: long non-coding RNA, 277 nt
Organism: Cyprinus carpio (common carp)
Lineage: Eukaryota; Metazoa; Chordata; Actinopteri; Cypriniformes; Cyprinidae
Source: Ensembl